This 779-nucleotide long non-coding RNA is filed under the name Panicum hallii. Its description in RNAcentral is "long non-coding RNA (PHAL_LNC000818)". The record is from RNAcentral. Lineage: Eukaryota; Viridiplantae; Streptophyta; Magnoliopsida; Poales; Poaceae.
CCGUCCCCGAUGGGGAGCCUCCAUUUUACACAGGCACAUAUUCACACAGGCAUAUUAUUUGAAAUUUCACAUACACAACCAAAUUCACCCAAAUCUUAUCGUCACACAACCAAAUUUACCAAAGUCUCAUCAUCACACAACUAAAAUCACAUACACAAGUUCACCACACAAAAGUUAACAACGAUAAAGGUUCUCAAAUGCCAAGUCUACAAAGUGCAAUACAAGUUUUACAGCAACUAGUCUCUUUGCCAUCGCCAACAAGUCUUUCCAAUAUCAAGUGAACUUCUAUUUCCGGCAUAGACAGUGUACCAAUAUAUUACGAAAUUAAAAGGCAUUGACUACAAAAGAUUUCAUACUCUUUUUGACCAACAAGCAUGCAUAAUAUUAGGAAUGCAAAUUUGUAACCAAAAUGACAAGGACAUACCGAUUUCAAGAACCAUCACCAAGGUGGCAGAUUUCGAAUGGCAGAUUUGGAGAUAGCUGAUUUGAAGUUGCCUGAUUUGGAGAUGGCGUAGCAUGCGGAUUAUUUGAUGCCGCCGAUUGUCUCUACACAGAGGAGAAGAGAUUGCAUGUGAGACAAGAUAAAUGACGAUCAUACAUAAAUACAACUUAUCCCCACUCACAGGAGUAGAGUACGGAUCAGGUGGUGGAGGUUGCGCGAACAGAGAAGCUGGCAGAGGUACACCUAUUGCAGCGCUAAGACUCUGCAUGUAAGUAAGUACAUCACUCAUCCUUUGCUCCAACUCCUGUCGUUUCCUCGUCUCUUCUUCCAGCCGGCC